RNAcentral lists this ribosomal RNA (84 nucleotides) under Wenyingzhuangia gilva. Lineage: Bacteria; Pseudomonadati; Bacteroidota; Flavobacteriia; Flavobacteriales; Flavobacteriaceae. The record is from RNAcentral.
ACCUCUUCCCAUUCCGAACAGAGAAGUUAAGCCUAUUAGCGCAGAUGGUACUAGCAUUGCUGGGAGAGUAUGUCAUCGCCUUUU